This 255-nucleotide ribosomal RNA is filed under the name uncultured bacterium. RNAcentral's name for it is "partial 16S ribosomal RNA". It matches the Rfam family "Bacterial small subunit ribosomal RNA", at positions 524 to 776 of the family's 1533-position model. The record is from RNAcentral.
UACGUAGGGUGCGAGCGUUAAUCGGAAUUACUGGGCGUAAAGCGUGCGCAGGCGGUUGGUUAAGUCUGAUGUGAAAGCCCCGAGCUCAACUUGGGAAUGGCAUUGGAAACUGGCUGGCUAGAGUGUGGCAGAGGGGGGGUAGAAUUCCACGUGUAGCAGUGAAAUGCGUAGAGAUGUGGAGGAACACCGAUGGCGAAGGCAGCCCCCCUGGGUCAAGAUUGACGCUCAUGCACGAAAGCGUGGGGAGCAAACAGG